UACUUGGAGGAGAUCUGCAGCGCUUCUAGUACAUGCCGAUCCUCCCACAGGCCCAACAGGUCAGCGCCAGGUGUGUCUAGAAGAAACGAUCGCUGCGAUCCUGGUCCAGGCAGGGGAGAGAAGGAGGAGGAGCCGAAAAUGCAGUACAG
Long non-coding RNA from Nanorana parkeri, 149 nucleotides. RefSeq lists it as uncharacterized. Lineage: Eukaryota; Metazoa; Chordata; Amphibia; Anura; Dicroglossidae. The transcript has 3 exons. The record is from RefSeq and is a predicted model, not a curated record.